RNAcentral lists this ribosomal RNA (748 nucleotides) under Suillellus sp. Its description in RNAcentral is "LSU rRNA". It matches the Rfam family "Eukaryotic large subunit ribosomal RNA", at positions 52 to 797 of the family's 3401-position model. Lineage: Eukaryota; Fungi; Basidiomycota; Agaricomycetes; Boletales; Boletaceae. The record is from RNAcentral.
GGAGGAAAAGAAACUAACAAGGAUUCCCCUAGUAACUGCGAGUGAAGAGGGAAGAGCUCAAAUUUCGAAUCUGGCGGUCUUUGGCCGUCCGAGUUGUAAUCUAGAGAAGCGUCGUCCGCGCUGGACCGUGUAUAAGUCUCCUGGAAGGGAGCGUCGUAGAGGGUGAGAAUCCCGUCUUUGACACGGACUACCAGUGCUAUGUGAUGCGCUCUCGACGAGUCGAGUUGUUUGGGAAUGCAGCUCAAAAUGGGUGGUAAAUUCCAUCUAAAGCUAAAUACAGGCGAGAGACCGAUAGCGAACAAGUACCGUGAGGGAAAGAUGAAAAGAACUUUGGAAAGAGAGUUAAACAGUACGUGAAAUUGCUGAAAGGGAAACGCUUGAUGUCAGUCGCGUCGGCCGGGGAUCAACCUUGCUUCUCUGCUGGGUGUACUUCCUGGUCGACGGGUCAGCAUCAGCUUCGGUCGCCGUACAAGGGCGAGGGGAACGUGGCACUCUUCGGAGUGUGUUAUAGCCUUUCGUCGUAUGCGGCGGUCGGGACUGAGGAACUCAGCACGGCUUUCGGGCUUGUGCUUAGGAUGCUGGCAUAAUGGCCUUAAGCGACCCGUCUUGAAACACGGACCAAGGAGUCUAACAUGCCUGCGAGUGUUUGGGUGGCAAACCCGAGCGCGCAAUGAAAGUGAAAGUUGAGACCUCUGUCGUGGAGGGCAUCGACGCCCGGACCUGAGUCUUUGACGACGGAUCUGCGGUA